UACGUAGGGUGCAAGCGUUAAUCGGAAUUACUGGGCGUAAAGCGUGCGCAGGCGGUUUUGUAAGACAGCUGUGAAAUGCCCGGGCUUAACCUGGGAACUGCAUUUGUGACUGCAAGGCUAGAGUUUGGCAGAGGGGGGUAGAAUUCCACGUGUAGCAGUGAAAUGCGUAGAUAUGUGGAGGAAUACCGAUGGCGAAGGCAGCCCCCUGGGUCAAGACUGACGCUCAUGCACGAAAGCGUGGGGAGCAAACAGG
Molecule: ribosomal RNA, 253 nt
Filed under: uncultured bacterium
Lineage: Bacteria
Description: partial 16S ribosomal RNA
Rfam family: Bacterial small subunit ribosomal RNA
Source: RNAcentral